This 231-nucleotide long non-coding RNA is filed under the name Arachis ipaensis. RNAcentral describes it as "long non-coding RNA (AIPA_LNC001594)". The record is from RNAcentral. Lineage: Eukaryota; Viridiplantae; Streptophyta; Magnoliopsida; Fabales; Fabaceae.
CAUGGACAUAUAUGCUAUGAUGAAGUAGCCCGUACAGAGCCACUAUGGCAACACAAAUAAUUGAGAUCACUAAAUAAACAUGGUCUCCCUUCACCGGCCACAAUGAUCACACUAGAGAUUAGAGAAGGCAACCUUAACCGACUUUACAAAUGUCACACACUCAUAUGCUUUCUCUAGCUGGUACACAAUCCCAUAUGUAAAAGACAAUACUGCCCCUAGCCUUGGACCUCU